CGCCGCGGUAAUACGUAGGGUCCAAGCGCUGUCCGGAAUUAUUGGGCGUAAAGGGCUCGUAGGCGGCCUGUCGCGUCUGGUGUGAAAGCACGGGGCCCAGCCCCGUGUCUGCGCUGGAUACGGGCGGGCUGGAGUGCCGCAGGGGGGAAUGGAAUUCCCGGUGUAACGGUGGAAUGUGUAGAUAUCGGGAAGAACACCGAUGGCGAAGGCAGUUCCCUGGGCGGUCACUGACGCUGAGGAGCGAAAGCGUGGGGAGCGAACAGGAUUAGAUACCCUGGUAGUCCACGCCGUAAACGGUGGACGCUGGAUGUGGGGCCCAUUCCACGGGUUCCGCGUCGGAGCCAACGCGUUAAGCGUCCCGCCUGGGGAGUACGGCCGCAAGGCUAAAACUCAAAGAAAUUGACGGGGGCCCGCACAAGCGGCGGAGCAUGCGGUUUAAUUCGAUGCAACGCGAAGAACCUUACCUGGGCUUGACAUGUGGACGGCGGCCGCGGAGACGCGGCUUCCCUUCGGGGCGUCCUCACAGGAGGUGCAUGGCC
Molecule: ribosomal RNA, 539 nt
Filed under: uncultured archaeon
Lineage: Archaea
Description: bacterial SSU rRNA
Rfam family: Bacterial small subunit ribosomal RNA
Source: RNAcentral